This 245-nucleotide ribosomal RNA is filed under the name uncultured bacterium. RNAcentral describes it as "partial 16S ribosomal RNA". It matches the Rfam family "Bacterial small subunit ribosomal RNA", at positions 107 to 353 of the family's 1533-position model. The record is from RNAcentral.
UGAGUAAUGUCUGGGAAACUGCCUGAUGGAGGGGGAUAACUACUGGAAACGGUAGCUAAUACCGCAUAACGUCGCAAGACCAAAGAGGGGGACCUUCGGGCCUCUUGCCAUCAGAUGUGCCCAGAUGGGAUUAGCUAGUAGGUGGGGUAACGGCUCACCUAGGCGACGAUCCCUUGCUGGUCUGAGAGGAUGACCAGCCACACUGGAACUGAGACACGGUCCAGACUCCUACGGGAGGCAGCAUG